This 24-nucleotide transfer RNA is filed under the name Rubus crataegifolius. Its description in RNAcentral is "partial tRNA-Leu". Lineage: Eukaryota; Viridiplantae; Streptophyta; Magnoliopsida; Rosales; Rosaceae. The record is from RNAcentral.
UGGGGCAAGGGGCCCUAUCCCCAA